UACGGAGGGAGCAAGCGUUACUCGGAAUUAUUGGGCGUAAAGGGCGCGUAGGCGAUUCGAAAAGUCAGCUGUGAAAGCCCAGGGCCUAACCCUGGAAGUGCAGCUGAUACUGUUGAAUUUGAGUUCCGGAGAGGAAGACAGAAUUCCCGGUGUAGCGGUGAAAUGCGUAGAUAUCGGGAGGAAUACCAGUGGCGAAGGCGGCCUUCUGGACGGAUACUGACGCUGAGGCGCGAAAGCUAGGGGAGCAAACGGG
This 253-nucleotide ribosomal RNA is filed under the name uncultured bacterium. Its description in RNAcentral is "partial 16S ribosomal RNA". It matches the Rfam family "Bacterial small subunit ribosomal RNA", at positions 524 to 776 of the family's 1533-position model. The record is from RNAcentral.